Molecule: ribosomal RNA, 426 nt
Filed under: uncultured bacterium
Lineage: Bacteria
Description: bacterial SSU rRNA
Rfam family: Bacterial small subunit ribosomal RNA
Source: RNAcentral
UGGGGAAUUGUUCGCAAUGGGCGCAAGCCUGACGACGCAACGCCGCGUGGAGGAUGAAGAUUUUCGGAUCGUAAACUCCUGUCGAAUGGGACGAAUAGAUUGCGGGUGAACAGCCCGUGGUCCUGACGGUACCGUUAAAGGAAACCCCGGCUAACUCCGUGCCAGCAGCCGCGGUAAUACGUAGGGUGCGAGCGUUAAUCGGAAUUACUGGGCGUAAAGUGUGCGCAGGCGGCGUCGCAAGUCGAGUGUGAAAGCCCCGGGCUUAACUUGGGAAUUGCGCUCGAAACUACGAUGCUGGAGUGUGGCAGAGGAAGGUGGAAUUCCACGUGUAGCGGUGAAAUGCGUAGAGAUGUGGAGGAACACCAAUGGCGAAGGCAGCCUUCUGGGCCAACACUGACGCUCAUGCACGAAAGCGUGGGGAGCAAA